CAAGUCGAACGGGAGCCCGGCUUCGGCCGGUCACUCUAGUGGCGGACGGGUGAGUGACGCGUGGGAACCUGCCCUUCAGUUCGGAAUAACCACGGGAAACUGUGGCUAAUACCGUAUACGCCCUCCGGGGGAAAGAUUUAUCGCUGAAGGAUGGGCCCGCGUCGGAUUAGCUUGUUGGUAGGGUAACGGCCUACCAAGGCAACGAUCCGUAGCUGGUCUGAGAGGACGAUCAGCCACACUGG
RNAcentral lists this ribosomal RNA (242 nucleotides) under uncultured bacterium. RNAcentral's name for it is "partial 16S ribosomal RNA". It matches the Rfam family "Bacterial small subunit ribosomal RNA", at positions 58 to 316 of the family's 1533-position model. The record is from RNAcentral.